Non-coding RNA from Paramuricea clavata, 690 nucleotides. The record is from the annotation of a GenBank genome assembly. NCBI's taxonomy places the organism in Eukaryota, Metazoa, Cnidaria, Anthozoa, Malacalcyonacea, Plexauridae.
UAUUGUUUCAGCUCAUUCUUGUUAGGUUUGAUUUUUAAUAUACUACCUUCAUUAGGUCAUCUUAAAACAUUUAGUGGCCAUGAACUACCCCUUCACUUUUCCUUUACUCCUCGCAGUGCCAUAACAAGACACGAUAAUUUUUUUUUUUUGGGGGGGGGGUUGCAUGUUCAUAUAUAUGUGUUCUGCCAGACGAAUAAGACUUCUUUUGAAAUUGAUUGCUUUUAUGGUAUGGUAUGUUAACAUAUCAAUAUGCACCCCCCCCCCCCAAUUAUUGCAUCUUGUUACAGCCCGGACUCCGCCUAAUCACAAUGCAAAACAAUUUUGAAAUUAAAAGGAUGAUGAAUCAUCUGGUUUUAAAAUUAUGUAUUACAACGUUGAAAGUUAUUUAUUGCUAUGUCUAUUGUAAAUACAAAAAUCUUCUAGUUAUGCCUAAAAUACCAAUUGUAAGAAUUGUGUAAAUAAGAGUAAAGUAUCUAUUAUGUGAGAGAUAUAGAAAUAUAUUUAUCUUCAUUUGAAGCAAUUGAAGGUAUUCCUUUCUUGUAACCAAUAAGUGUGUUUUCAUACAAGAAAUUUUCAUAUUAUGACUUUAAGAAGGACAAAAUUGCAGGCUUGCAUUGAUCUGCAGUCAACUGCUCCAACAAUAAAUUACGGGACAAAUCCCUAAGCUUUUUUCGAUUUCCCUUGAAUGCU